UACGUAGGGGGCUAGCGUUGUCCGGAAUCAUUGGGCGUAAAGCGCGUGUAGGCGGUUCGGUAAGUCAGCUGUGAAAGUCAAGGGCUCAACCCUUGAAAGCCGGUUGAUACUGUCGGGCUAGAGUCCGGAAGAGGCGAGUGGAAUUCCCGGUGUAGCGGUGAAAUGCGCAGAUAUCGGGAGGAACACCAAUGGCGAAGGCAGCUCGCUGGGACGGUACUGACGCUGAGACGCGAAAGCGUGGGGAGCAAACAGG
This 253-nucleotide ribosomal RNA is filed under the name uncultured bacterium. RNAcentral describes it as "partial 16S ribosomal RNA". It matches the Rfam family "Bacterial small subunit ribosomal RNA", at positions 524 to 776 of the family's 1533-position model. The record is from RNAcentral.